CUGGAAUGGUUCCAAUUGCAUUGUUUCCCCAAAAAACAUUUCCACACUAUGGUUCCAAAUGAAACAGGCUUAAAAUGCUACCAGUUCAAAUGAAAAUGAUCCCAAAUGGAAAACAAAUCAGUUCCUAACAAAACAUUUCCAAUCAAAAUUCAUGGUUACAAACAAAAGGGUUCCAAACGGAAACGAUUUCAAUCGAUACAACCUUAAAAUGUUCCAACUGCUUUAACUCCGUUAACUCCUAAAUGGAGUGGGAAAUCCUCAACCUGUCUUUGGUUUAGCAUGUAUGCAGUUAGCAUCUUGUCAUACAUUACAUGCUCACAUGUUCUUUAAGGAUAUUUUGUUUGUGACGUCUCAUAGUUUGCUUGUCUCUUUUCUUUUGUAUUUUUAUUUCUAGCCUGCUAGAUUGUCUAAAUAAUCAGUUAUCAACAAAGGACAAGACUGUUUACAUUCUUGCAGCCAGUAAGAGAAGAGUGUGAGCUCACGUGGUUUGUUGUAAUGGAUGUUGGUUUGUUUUGAUGAUUUAUUGUGUGAAAAUAAAUUGAAGCAAGUUUACAAACCAAUCAACUGAGGAGGACCACAAAGUAAACAGAAGUGUGAAAACGUCCUCGUAGAAGUUCUGAUGACGUUGUUAGCGUUUUCUCUUGUUUCCUUGUCAUCCUCGUUCACUCUUCAAACUUGAGUUAACUCGGUUUGUCUUGCACAAUCCACCUAAUCACGAAAUUAUAUUUGAGGGGCGUAAUAGGAAGGAGUGUAUUUCAGCACGAGGCGCAGAUAUUCCAUCAAAAAAAUGUGCCCUCACUGCAACAUUUCCCCCCAUUAUGAUUUAUUAAACUAAUGCUGGGGCCCGGGAAUCUACUUUUGCUUUCAUCGCUGCACUCUCCAAAUACCAAUUUCAACCCCUUCCUCAAUUAUUCUUUUGUCUGGGAAAAGAAGCGAGGUAUCAAUCUUUUAUGUUUUGGAAAAACCUGAUGAGUGCGAGCUAGCGUUUGUGUGUGUGUGUGUGUGUGUGUGUGUGGGUGAAGCCAACUCUCGGGUGAAAAAAAAACAAAAACAUGAAAUUGCAGAGUAAAUCAAUACCGGGGCCGCUAAUUUCAGGGGUAUCCCCUUUCAAAGAGUAAAGCUGAAUUUGUUUUGCCGUAUGUUUUUGAUCUCUUACUGUACUGUGUUUCAUUCCAGGCACGGUUGUUAUCAUAGUUGCAGUUGUUUGUAUGUUAUUUUAGCUUCUUUCUCAAGUAGCUAUUUUGCAAUUUGGACAAAAGCACAAUUUAGCUCCCAUCUGUUUCCAAUGCGCUCAACGUUAGACAGAUGGGUUCUGUGUAUUGAAGCAAUACCAAAGUCCUGGCAGGUUACAGUGGUUUCGGUAAUGAACAUGCUAAAUAUGAGACUACGGGCUGAUUUCAUCACGACAAGGCCUGUAAUGCUAUUCUUUUUCAUAAAGUUAAUCUGUCGCGCAUUAGUCUCGGCAUUGACCUCAAAUGAUUACAGGACUUAUAUAUCCGUCCCGAGUUUUCUUUACAAGGUUAUAUGAAACACUGUCAGUUAAAUAUGAAACACUAUAGCUACCUUUUACCAAGCAGUACAGUUCUGUGUAACUUUCUUUGUACUGUAGACCUGAACCACCCUCUGUGUUUCACAUGGAAAUACAGCAGGUUCACAAGCUCUUGCGGUAGAAUGGGAAGUAGUGUAUUGCUGUUUGGCGCUGUGUUCUCUGCACACACCAUAUACAUGGAUCUGCUACACUAAUUGACAGCUGUAAUUCGGCGGCUUGGUGAUGAAAUCUUGACUCCAUGUGGAAAAAAAAUAAAUAAAUAGUGGCCAGCAACUUUAAACAUAAACUAUGGCUUUAAAGCCACCUUUCAUCGCAGUUGUAGCGGACAUGCCACGCAAAAGAUGCCACCCAGCACCCCAUCCUCGCACUACCGCCACUCCCCGCCGAGGUAGACUGUAACUCCAGAGUCACACGCAGACUCUAAACGAAUUAACACAAUAAGCUAUCUUCAACAAGACACAGACAUUUGCUUUGCCAUUCCGAUGCUAAGUGAAUCACGUCUGCCUGAGACUUCAAAGGGGAGACCCACGGAUGCUGGGUUCACCCAGCUCACGCUAAGUUAAUUAACUCCCCACCAGUCAAAGGAUUGGACCUGCAGCGACGCCUCCACCCUGCUGAGACCUGCUGCUUGGGAGUUGGAACAGGCAACAAAGACACCUCCUUCUGUGCUGGUUCCCAGCCUUCCUCUUCUGUUCCACAUUGUUCGUGAUGGCGAAGUUGCCUGCCUUUCUCGCCAUGACCGGCACUCCUUCUCUUCUUCCUUCCUGCGCGCUGCGCAAGGUUGACUUCGGUUUCUCCUUAACUUUGCACCUGCAUACAAUUUUAUUUUAUUUAUUUAAAUGUUUUUUUUUUUUUUUUCAAUUGUGCAAAAAAAUGAAGAGUCCUCUCGAGUCCUCUUAGAGCAGUUCGAAUGACGACUCUCGCAGUAGUCCGGUGCAAUGACCAUUGUGCAAAGGGCGCCGAGACUUCAAGGAGUGUAUGCAGUUUAAAGUGACGAGUAGUGCGAUAAUCUGGGACAAUGUUGAUUGUGCAAAUGUUGCAGAUACUCCUCAAUCAAUGUGCAAAUGGGGCAGAUGCUACUCUGGCAUGAGUGGCCAGUAUUGGUCAACAACAGAUAUGCAAAUACCGCGGCCUGGCGAGACUACGACUGAGUGCACGAGUAGUAUAUAAUUGGGCCGACAGAAAUGUGACAACAAACUCAGACAAAAGAAAUUGGCAGCAUGUUGCAAUGGAAUUGUAAGUUAGCUGUUUAAGAAGUUGAUUGCGAGAGGGAAGAAGCUGUUGGAAUGUCUGCUCGUUCUAGUUUGCAUUGAUCGGUAGCGCCUACCUGAGGGAAGGAGCCGAAAGAGCCGGUGACCGGGAUGUGGAGGGUCCGAGAGUAUUUUGCAUGCUCUUGUCUUAGUUCUGGCAGCGUGCAAGUCCUCAAGGGUGGGUAGGGGGUACCGACAAUCCUUUCAGCAGUUUUGAUUGUCCAUUGCAGUCAGAGUUUGUCAUUUUUUGUAGCAACACCAAACCAGACUGUGAUGGAAGAACACACGACUGAUUCGAUGACCGCUGUGUAGAACUGCCUCAGCAGCUCCCGUGGCAGGCUGUGCUUUCUCAGAAGCCGCAGGAAGUACAUCCUCUGCUGGCCCUUUUUGGUCUCGACGGUUGACACAAGGCAGCUGGACAGCGUAAGGGGCAGCUGUGGCGAAGGAUGCCUCCUGAAGUCCACGAUCAUCUCUAUAGUCUUGAGCGUGUUCAGCUCCAGGUUGUGUCGGCCACACCACAGCUCCAGCCGAUAUGCAGACUCGUCACCGUCCUUGAUGAGGCUGAUGACAGUGGUGUCAUCUGCAAACUUUAGGAGUUUGACAGCCGGGUGCAUUGAGGUGCAGUCGUUCGUGUAGAGAGAGAAGAGCAGCGGAGAGAGGACACAACCACCAAAGACAUCUAUUACCUGUGUCCCAGUAAGCUGUUCAUCUGAGAUGUAGUGGAUGGGGUUUGUGGCCUGAAGCCCAUGAAGGAUGGGUCGCGGUGUAGAGCAGAAGCUACACCUCGCUACCAGGUUACUACUACUCACGCGGAAAUUGUUGGGUCCAAGUGGCUAGUCAAUACACCAGCCCUAAGCGCAAUGCUGAGUUAUGACCACCACGACGAGACUCGCCCUGCCAAAUCAAACCAUGUGGCUUGACCUCCCCAAAGAUGCCAUUUUGCAUAUUGAGAACGUCACCCUCUACCACCUGCCAACCGAAAAUUAUGAGAGCGAAAUCGAGAUUUCGAACUUUUUCGGACAGUACAAAUUGGAAGUUGAUCCUGAGACACUUACACAGAUUCAGUUUGAAGGAAUCCAGGUGAUUGACAUCACCCACAUUGACAACACCUUACGCGUUAUGAGCACUGAAGACAGAACACUCGAGCUCCCGCUCAUGCAUUCCUGGUCCACAGCAGAUAACAUCUUAAUUGCCCUUACUACAUGACCUUCGGAAUCGCCUACCUGCUCUACCUAAAGACUCAGAACUUGCAGGGUCUUCUGAACCAGUGCUCAGCUUUGCGACCCAAAAUUUUCCAUAGGAAAAAAUCCUAACCCCAUACAGACAGGGGAGGAGGUUUUUGUGUGAUUUUUACUGAGAACUCUACACCUAGGUAAUGCUUGCCCUUAGUUUUAGCUACGCCCAAUGCCCCGUAUUUCUACUCUCCCUGCUAUCCCAAUAGCCACACCUACGCACAUCAAUCCUGACCCAUAUACACAUACAGGCUGACCUUAUAUUGGAAGUUGCCAUGAACAACUGUUGUAGCCGUAAGGGGGGUGAUAUGCACUAAGGUUGUACUUUGGUAACUGCCUUGUUGUGUGUGUGUGUGUUCCUGCCAACCUGUGCCAUCUUUCAACGAGACGUCGCCUACAUCCGCCUGAUCCAGCCGCCGCAGCGGGGGAUAUGUAGCGGACAUGCCACGCAAAGGAUGCCACCCGGCACCCCAGCCUCACCCUACCGCCACUCCCCGCCGAGGAAACCGGAGGAAAUCGGAGUGCCCGGAGAAAACCCACGCAGGCACGGGGAGAACAUGCAAACUCCACACAGGCGGGGCCGGGGAUUGAACCCCGGUCUUCAGAACUGUGAGGCAGACGCUCUAACCAGUCGCCCACCGUGCCGCCGGACCCUGACUCGCCUUCUUCAAACGUGUUCCAGACACGUAAGUCCAACAUUGCGGUCUACUAAAAGUACAGAUUAGUGCAUAUUUGGGUUUAUAUUAACGAGACCAGGAGUCCUCAACUAUAUGCAUUCACUACACACCCAUUCUGCUCAUCUCACGUCACAAAUCCCUUCCGUUGCCAAUGUUUGUAGAUAUCUUGUUUGUUUUGUGUUUGUCUGUUUUUUAUCCUGUAGAAAGCCCUUUUUAUUAUUAAAUUUUCUAUAAAAUUCA
This is a long non-coding RNA of Phyllopteryx taeniolatus (common seadragon), 4948 nucleotides long. RefSeq lists it as uncharacterized. The record is from RefSeq and is a predicted model, not a curated record. NCBI's taxonomy places the organism in Eukaryota, Metazoa, Chordata, Actinopteri, Syngnathiformes, Syngnathidae. The transcript is spliced from 2 exons.